GACGAACGCUGGCGGCGUGCUUAACACAUGCAAGUCGAACGGUGAAGCUCCAGCUUGCUGGAGUGGAUCAGUGGCGAACGGGUGAGUAACACGUGAGCAACCUGCCCCUGACUCUGGAAUAAGCGCUGGAAACGGCGUCUAAUACUGGAUACGAGAAGGGUCCGCAUGGGCACUUUCUGGAAAGUUUUUCGGUUGGGGAUGGGCUCGCGGCCUAUCAGCUUGUUGGUGAGGUAAUGGCUCACCAAGGCGACGACGGGUAGCCGGCCUGAGAGGGCGACCGGCCACACUGGGAAUGAGACACGGCCCAGACUCCUACGGGAGGCAGCAGUGGGGAAUAUUGCACAAUGGGCGAAAGCCUGAUGCAGCGACGCCGCGUGAGGGAUGACGGCCUUCGGGUUGUAAACCGCUUUCGGCAGGGAAGAAGCGAAAGUGACGGUACCGGCAGAAGAAGCACCGGCUAACUACGUG
RNAcentral lists this ribosomal RNA (468 nucleotides) under uncultured bacterium. RNAcentral describes it as "partial 16S ribosomal RNA". It matches the Rfam family "Bacterial small subunit ribosomal RNA", at positions 28 to 507 of the family's 1533-position model. The record is from RNAcentral.